RNAcentral lists this small RNA (62 nucleotides) under Candidatus Doolittlea endobia. RNAcentral describes it as "Pseudomonas sRNA P26". It matches the Rfam family "Pseudomonas sRNA P26". From Rfam's summary of the family: P26 is conserved across many Gammaproteobacteria species and appears to be consistently located between the DNA directed RNA polymerase (beta subunit) and 50S ribosomal protein L7/L12 genes. Lineage: Bacteria; Pseudomonadati; Pseudomonadota; Gammaproteobacteria; Enterobacterales; Enterobacteriaceae. The record is from Rfam by way of RNAcentral.
ACCUUUAAAUUUACAGCCUGAAUUAGGCUAGUGGCUGGUGACUUUUAGGUCGUCAUCAGCCU